GUGCGCCACGGGCCGAGAGUGCCACCUGGGCCCCCCAUUCCACCCCCCUGGUUCCUGUGACCCCCCCCCCACCCUCCUCGAGCCGAGGAUGGGGCAGCCCACCUGACGGCGAAGGAAGACGAGACCCACAGUUGGAAAGUGCACAGGGUACCCCACUGGGGAACGCGUGGAUGGUGCGGGAGGCUGUGGAAACCCACCUGCUGACGCCUGGACCGGUGCCGCUGCUCCAACGAGCCUCACCCGGUGCCCAGCUUGAAGCUGCCACCCAGCAAUGCCUUUGAGCACAAGCCCCCUCUGGGUCCAGGAAGGCCAGGAGAAGCUUACAGGAACUGACCGCCCGUCCUCCCAGCCCUCUGGGCAGAGUCCACCUGCCCAGGACAGGUGUCCUCUGUGAGAGCAGUGGGGGCCACUGCUCACAGGCUGGGCGGGAACCCCUCUCAACCUUCCGCCAUGGCUUUUCCAAAGGCUCCAGUCAUUUAACAUGGAGCCUCAGGACCAGAUGCACCACCUUGCCCUUGACCCAAUCGCAGAAAAACAUAAUGGCACUGGGAUCUCGGUGCCAGUGCCAAGUACCGUGAACCUGUCCUUCCAGGUGGCCGUAGUCCCCUUCCAGAGUCCAGGGUCCUCUGGAUGCCCACCUCCCAUGCCCGCCAAGCUGCCUCCCCCCUCCUGACCCUUCCCAAUUACCCCCCGCUCCUGAUUCUCUGCCAGUAUUUCCUCCUCCGGUACAGGGGUGCCCCACCAGAGCCUGCAGCAGAAUCCCAUGGAGGGCCUGUCAAACACACAGCGCCUCGCCCCAGAGUGUCUGAUUCCAUGGAACUGUUCCAGCCCCUCCAGGGCCUGCCUCUCCCACAAAAUGCCAGCUGGUGCUGACACUGCUGCUGCAGGAAAUACACUUGACCCUAGGAAGUGCUAAUAAAGGUCAUUUCUGCACGACAUUAGGUAUUAUAAAAGUAGGAAGAAAUGCUUUGUAAAGAAAAAGUGGGCAGGGGAGAGCUGGGCUCAGACACGUUGGUGAAAUUCUGGGUUAAUCAAAGUCAAGAGGUUUCCUGACGGCGGGACUUUUCAGAGCCUUCAAUCUACAAAGUGUGUAUGUGUGUGUGUGUGUGUGUGUGUACGCAUGUGUGUUGGUUUCCCAAACAAAGGUGAUGGCAGACCUCUCUGGCUAGCACAUCUCAGGUUAGCAGAGCCCCGUGGGGUCCAUCUGGGGAACUACUGGGGGGACGUACAAUCAUUCCAGGGGAUAAAGGGAGGGGGUCUCUGUGCACUAACCCAUCAAGGAAAACCUGGUCAUCUUCCCCAUCCCCAUGGUCAGAACAGAGGACGUCCCCCUUGCCGAGCCCACUGGCCACCCCUGCACCCUUCACCUUUGGACCAGGCUGAAAACUGCCCUGGCAGGUGAGUGGGCCUGAGCCGUUCUGGAAAAGCAGCAGCAGAUGACAGCUGAGGAAACCGAGUCACCGGCAGGCUCAGCCGCUCCGGCAGCCACGAGGACAUGUCCCCAGGGAAUACCGAUCGGUCACCCCCUGCCCACCUACGGCUCGGCCGGGCGUCCCGUGCUGGCCAGCCUCUCUCCGGGUCUGCCACCGUCACCCCCGGGGGCCCCGUGCCCCCCUUCCAUCCCCGCGCUCAGCCCAGGACGACGGGCAGGUUCAGGGACGGCUGGGCUCAGGGGAGCAGCGAACACCACCCCACUCAUCUUCUGGGGCGAGGGAAGUGGCAGAUUUUCCCAGAUUUUCAUUUCAGCUGUUCCUGGACAUCCUGAACUUUGCACUCCAGUGUGAGGGCUCCAAAGAAUGGCUGCCAUGGCAACCGUUUCCAUGUUUUCGUCACCAAGGGACUCAACACUCAGUGUGAACUCCGAGGUGGGGUGGGGAGCCCUCCAGCCUGCAGAAGUGGCUGGGCCGUGUGUUUGACUGUGCAGACGGGGGUCACCGUGGCAACUGAGUGCCCCUCGGCUAAGCGACGGGGGAGCCAGCGUCCCUGAGAACCCCGGUUUCCUCUCCGUAGGACUGAGCUGAAUACACAAUGAGCCUCCCUCAGGAUGCCACUGUUUCCCUGUGUGCGACCGCAGACCCCUGGCCCGUCCACGCUGGCCCCCGCCACCACCCCCCCGCCAGCCGGGGGACCCUGGAGAACGCGGCUGUGAUCCCAGGCACUGAGCGUCUGCUGGUGUUACAGGCUGAGCUGUGUCUCCCAGAUUCAUAUGAUGCAGGGCUAACCCCCCACCCCCGUUUGUCGGAGAGGGAUGGUGCUCGGAGACAAGGUCUUAACAGAGGAGCAGACCUCGGCCGUCCUUCCCAGAGCUCCCCGACCUCCGCAGGGUCCCAACGCGAGGAGACUCUCAGGCCACCAGAAGCAAUCUACGAAGUAGGACGCUCCAGGUCCUGUGCUUGGGCUCCUCCAAAGGGGGCCCCGCUGCCCUAGGGCAGGCAGCCUUGUUCGUCAUCCCAAGCCUCGCUCCCCGGCUCCAGUCCUGGCCCAGGAGACUCACAGCCUGUCAGCUCUGGACCCUCGGAGGACCUGUCCUCCCGGCAUAGCAGGAAGUAGCUCCAAGCUGACUUAUGUCCCUGCUUGCAGGUUUGGGGGACCUCCUGCUGGCAUCAAAGCUCCCUCCCUGGGCCAGGUUCUAGGAAAGCUCUUUCCUCAGCACAG
This is a long non-coding RNA of Felis catus (domestic cat), 2655 nucleotides long. RefSeq lists it as uncharacterized. Lineage: Eukaryota; Metazoa; Chordata; Mammalia; Carnivora; Felidae. The record is from RefSeq and is a predicted model, not a curated record. The transcript has 2 exons.